RNAcentral lists this ribosomal RNA (1521 nucleotides) under uncultured Planctomycetales bacterium. RNAcentral describes it as "16S ribosomal RNA". It matches the Rfam family "Bacterial small subunit ribosomal RNA". The record is from RNAcentral. Lineage: Bacteria; Pseudomonadati; Planctomycetota; Planctomycetia; Planctomycetales.
CAUGCAAGUCGAACGAGGAUGUAUCCUUCGGGAUAUAAGCCGAGUGGCAUAAGGGUGAGCAAUGCAUAGAUUACCUACCUUUAGGAUAAGGACAACUUUGUGAAAACGGAGCUAAUACUUAAUAAUACAAAGGAAAAUAAUUUUCUUUUGUCAAAGGGAGGGUAGCAAUACCUUUCGCCUAGAGAGGGGUUUAUGUCCUAUCAGCUUGUUGGUGGGGUAAUAGCCUACCAAGGCGAAGACGGGUAGCCGGUUUAAGAGGAUGGUCGGCCACACUGGGACUGAGACACUGCCCAGACUUCUACGGAAGGCUGCAGUCGAGAAUCUUUCGCAAUGCCCGAAAGGGUGACGAAGCGACGCCGCGUGGGUGAAGAAGGCCUUCGGGUUGUAAAACCCUGUCAGGAGUUAUGAAAUGUAAGUGCGCUAAUAUCGUGCUUAUUUGACAAAGGCUCCAAAGGAAGCCACGGCUAACUCUGUGCCAGCAGCCGCGGUAAUACAGAGGUGGCGAGCGUUGUUCGGAAUUAUUGGGCGUAAAGAGCACGUAGGUGGGUUUGCAAGUCAGAUGUGAAAGCCUUCUGUUCAACGGGAGAAUUGCAUCUGAAACUGCUAAUCUUGAGUGUAGGAGGGGAGAAUGGAACUUCUGGUGGAGCGGUGAAAUGCGUAGAUAUCAGAAGGAACGCCGGCGGCGAAAGCGAUUCUCUGGCCUAUUACUGACACUCAGUGUGCGAAAGCUAGGGGAGCAAACGGGAUUAGAUACCCCGGUAGUCCUAGCCGUAAACGAUGGGCACUAAGUAGAGGGGAUUACCUAUGUUCUCUCUGCCGUAGCUAACGCAUUAAGUGCCCCGCCUGGGGAGUACGGCCGCAAGGCUAAAACUCAAAAGAAUUGACGGGGGCUCGCACAAGCGGUGGAGCAUGUGGCUUAAUUCGAUGCAACGCGAAAAACCUUACCGGGGCUUGACAUGAUAGAAGUAGGAACCUGAAAGGGGGACGAACGGUAUCCAGUCCGUAGCUAUUACAGGUGUUGCAUGGCUGUCGUCAGCUCGUGUCGUGAGACGUUGGGUUAAGUCCCCUAACGAGCGAAACCCUUGUUUUUAGUUACCAGCGGGUUAUGCCGGGUACUCUAGAAAGACUGCCGUCGUCAAGACGGAGGAAGGUGGGGAUGACGUCAAGUCAUCAUGGCCCUUAUGCCCCGGGCUGCACACGUGCUACAAUGGUCGGUACAGACGGAAGCGAAGCCGAGAGGUGAAGCGAAUCCUAAAAAGCCGAUCUCAGUUCGGAUUGGAGGCUGAAAUUCGCCUCCAUGAAGUUGGAAUCGCUAGUAAUCCCGGAUCAGCAAUGUCGCGGUGAAUAUGUUCCCGAGCCUUGUACACACCGCCCGUCAAGCCACCCAAGCAGGAUACACCCGAAAACAUUAUAUCUAACCAGGGCAACUUGGAGGAAAAUGUUGAAGGAGUGUUUUGUGAGGAGGACUAAGUCGUAACAAGGUAGUCGUAGGAGAACCUGCGGCUGGAUCACCUCCUUUCU